This 503-nucleotide ribosomal RNA is filed under the name uncultured bacterium. RNAcentral describes it as "partial 16S ribosomal RNA". It matches the Rfam family "Bacterial small subunit ribosomal RNA", at positions 30 to 523 of the family's 1533-position model. The record is from RNAcentral.
AUUGAACGCUGGCGGCAGGCUUAACACAUGCAAGUCGAGCGGGGUGAUGGUGCUUGCACUAUCACUUAGCGGCGGACGGGUGAGUAAUGCUUAGGAAUCUGCCUAUUAGUGGGGGACAACAUCUCGAAAGGGAUGCUAAUACCGCAUACGUCCUACGGGAGAAAGCAGGGGAUCACUUGUGACCUUGCGCUAAUAGAUGAGCCUAAGUCGGAUUAGCUAGUUGGUGGGGUAAAGGCCUGCCAAGGCGACGAUCUGUAGCGGGUCUGAGAGGAUGAUCCGCCACACUGGGACUGAGACACGGCCCAGACUCCUACGGGAGGCUGCAGUGGGGAAUAUUGGACAAUGGGGGGAACCCUGAUCCAGCCAUGCCGCGUGUGUGAAGAAGGCCUUAUGGUUGUAAAGCACUUUAAGCGAGGAGGAGGCUCUUCUGGUUAAUACCCAAGAUGAGUGGACGUUACUCGCAGAAUAAGCACCGGCUAACUCUGUGCCAGCCGCCGCGGUAA